Molecule: long non-coding RNA, 694 nt
Organism: Ipomoea nil (Japanese morning glory)
Lineage: Eukaryota; Viridiplantae; Streptophyta; Magnoliopsida; Solanales; Convolvulaceae
Exons: 3
Source: RefSeq, a predicted model, not a curated record
UCUGAACAUCAUUUUCCGCCUUGCUCCGCCAAAAAUGUUCAGACUCAGCCGUCCUCCUCCGCCUUCGCCACUCCCUCCUCCACCCCAGCAUUCGGAACAGCUUCGUCGACCCAAGCCUUCGGAACCCCUUCCUCCACUCCUGGCUUCGUCACGCCUUCUACUCCGGCAUUCGGAACCUCCCUGUUCUCCAAUCCGCUUUCUCAACAGUCACAACCUCAGCAGCAGGGUUCGUUGAUUCAGAAUCUCCAUAGCUCCAGCGCUAUCAGCUUUUCGACGCCGUUUGGGGCCACGCAGCCACAGCAGAAUCUAUCAGCUUCACCGUUCGGUCAGUAGCCCAGCACUCAAACUACAUUACCCCUUCGCAAAUGCUCAAUUAACAUCUCAAAUGGCUCCUGUAGCUCCUCUGCCCUUUUCUCUUGCAAAAGGUUGACAAAUGGAGGAGCAAAUUGCAGCUGUACGACAAGCAUUAUGUGCAACAAAGAUCAUUAAGGAUGAUAAUGUUCCUUGCAAGAUUGAACUCAUUGAAGAGGUACUAACUACGGAUUUUAGCAAAUUGCUCAAGGUGCAUUGACCAUAGCAAUUAGAUUGAAAUUUAUUGUGUUAUUCUUGGUUUACUCCAUCUGCUAGCAUAUAUGACCUGAAUGAGGCAUAAACUGAUGGAAUUUGCCAUGUUUAUGUUGAUAAGUCUGCUAAC